RNAcentral lists this long non-coding RNA (27307 nucleotides) under Phoenix dactylifera (date palm). Its description in RNAcentral is "long non-coding RNA (PDAC_LNC004998)". The record is from RNAcentral. Lineage: Eukaryota; Viridiplantae; Streptophyta; Magnoliopsida; Arecales; Arecaceae.
GUAUUCUUCUGCUCUUUGAAUCUAAAUCUUGUACUUCUUUUGAUUUUCGCGUAAAAAUAUGAUUUUAGCGCAUGAAGUUCUGGAACCCAUUGGUUUAUGUCUGUAGGAUUUUCAUUUGGUGAUUUUUGUCUUAUUUUUUAAGAUACCAUGGCUGGAGAAACUCAUGCUUUUGUAAAUCUUAAAGAUAUGGACUGAGUUGCACUUUUCCGAAUUUGAGGUUUAAGAUCAUGAUGGUUGCGUUCGUACGAUGGAUGUAAGGAAGCUGAUUGCUUUAUUUGAAACGAUGAGCAUAAGUUGUUUGUCAAACGUGGAUAUGUUAAGAUGGAAUUGGACAUAAAUCUGUAUCGGCUUAAAAUAUUGUGUGCAACUUCAUAAUUUGGUAUGUGUUCCUGGGUACUUUGAAUGGUACUUUAAAUAUUGUGUGCAACUUCAUAGUUAGGAUUAUAUGUUACUGGGUCUGGGUACUUUAAAUCCUUUGUUGGGGCGAUGGGCAUGAGAGUCAUUAGCAUACAGGCCUCAUCGUCUAUAUGAUUUCUUAGUGAUGUGCUAUGGUAACAGAUUGUACCACGAGAUGGACAGCUACGGAGCAGAUCAUUCUGUUUAACAAUGACUGCUCGCGAUAUAUCAUAUUGACUCCAACUCAUAGUCAGAAACCACUUAGUAUCAUAUGUACCUUAAGCUAAAGGUUAUCUGGUUUCUAUGGAGUUGAUUUUAUAGAUGAAGGUCAGAUUCAAGAAGCUUGAGAAAAUUCUGAGUCCAGCUCUCAAGAUGACACCAAACCUCUUGUAAUUGGUGCUGUAUAUCUGGCGAAGGCAGCUCUGGGAAAGUAAGCGGAUAUAACGGAUCAAAGAGUGCUAGCUGAUUCAUUGCAUGUCUUUUGCUCAGGGGAUCAUAAUACAUCGAUAAUACAAGUAAUUCAAGCAUUGUUUAGAUGAGGCUUCAUAGCAUGAAUGACACAAGUCUCAUCCAGGCAUGUUACUAAUGUUGCAAGGAGAUGGCUAGUUCCAAAUGGUACCUUUGUUGCAGAAUACUGUGUGACAUGAGGGUGUCUGAUAUGUGUAAUAAAUAGUUAAAUUAUGAGUCAUACUUUGUAAUUGCCAGUUGUUUGCAACAGAUUAAAGUGAAUAGCGAUCAAUCCUUGUCAUAGGAAUUUAAACUUUUAGUAGAUUGAAUUAUAGGUUACAUUGAGGUAUAUUAUCAUGCUUUAACACUCAAUCAAAUACAGGAUCUUGCCCCUUUUUUUUGUUUCCAUGAAAAUUUUGGAUAAUUAUGGCCUCUAAAAAUUUAUUAAGGGUGUCUUUGGAGUGUAUCUACCUUCACAUAGACACCUUAAAAUACCUUGCUGACAAUUGGAUAAAUUGAUGCCUUAUAUAGAUGACUUAGGGUUUAAAUUUUAAAACCUUAUGAGUGAACAUAGAGUAUAGAAUUUCUCUUUUUUUUAAAAAACCAAAAAGAGAAAUGCAUUUCAAAAAAAAAAAACAAGAGAGAGAGAGAGAGAGAGAGAGAAGAAUGUAUCCAUCUCUUCUUGUCUUGAUCCUCUACUCCCCCUGGACAGGUGGCUAUCUGAGGUAGCAUUGCAGGGUUGGCCCACCGUGAUUGACCAUGGCUGGUUGGAGGGGCACAGAGUGUGUGCCCUGUUUGUCCAGGGGGGAGCAGAGGCGGGACGAGGGCCUCGUCCGGCAGGUAUUCGGGGAGCACCUUGCUGAGCGUGUUCUAGCUCAGCCGAUCCCAGAGGGGGAGGUAGCGGAUAGGAGGGUGUGGAGUCAAACUGGGAGGACGACUGUGAGUGCCUGGGACCUCUCGUGGGUAGACAGAGGGUCCUCGGUGCGACAGAUAGAUUGCAGCUGGAUAAGGAGGAUGCACAUUCACCCCCGAGUGGCCUUGUUCCCGUGGAAGGUGGCUUGGGGGUGUUUACCUACCAGUGGAGUGUUGGUGAGGCGGGGAGUGAGGAUCCUGCCGGAUGUGGAGCUUGUCAGGCGACGAAGGAGUCCAUUUACCAUGUUCUUUUUGGGUGCCCGAGAGCCAGUCAGAUAUGGAGAUGUGCCUCAGCUCAACCUGACCAGGGGCAGAUGUGGGCGUCCACCGAGGAGUUCCUACGACAUUUGGAGGUCUCAGCUCGGGAGUCCGGACGGGAGAAGAGGGGGACUGGUGAUGCCUACCUGGCCCAUCAUUGCUGGCUGGAUAGGAAUGCACGAGUUUUCGAUGGCGAUAGCCCCCACCCGAGGGUGGUGGCCGACCGAGCUUACGACAUGCGGCGGAGAUCACUGGCACCAUUGAGGCUUCACCUACUGGGUUGGUCAGGGACAUUUGGGGCCUUCAUUCUGCUCUUGCAGCAUCCAGGACGAUAUUGGUAUCCUGGGUGCCCCCACCCCCUGGCUAUCUCAAAGUAAACUUCGAUGAGAGUGUAGCAGAGGACGGGAGCUACAGAGGUGUGGGAUUUGUCAUCAGAGAUCACGACGCCAGACAUGUGGCAGCAGGUGGGUGGAGGAUUUUUGACUCGUCAGUAGUGACCGCUGAGCUUCGGACGGCCUGGGAGGGUGUCUCCUAUGCGAGGCGGGUACUAGGUGCGGGUUGCAUCCUCCUUGAGGGGGAUUCGACCAUGGUGAUUGAGUGGAUCCGGGGAUGGAGGUGCUCAAUCGAGGACCGGUCGCUGCUCCACGAUAUUCGCAGAGCUCUGAGGGAGACUGACUCUUAUCAGGCCACGCACGUAUAUCGGGAGGCGAACGGUGCUGCAGAUUGGGUUGCUUCCUUCGCGGCUCAUCAUUCGGAAGAUUUUUUCUGGCUAGACCACGGGGCUGUGCCUAUGCCUUUGUGCAGUAUUUUGUUUUUUGAUUUUGUUGGCUGUUUUUACACUCGCCAAGUGUGAGCCGCUGAUUACCAAAAAAAAAAUCCUCUAUCCUAUCAAGCUUUCAUGAAUGAAAGCAUGCUGAGUUCCAUCUUAAAGCCCAGAUCAAAAAAACCUUUCAUUUUGUUCCAAAUGUGGUUCAUGCUUUUAUCCUAUAGCAUUUUUCCUUCCUUCUAAUUACGGCGCAUGAAAUGAUGAGGGUUGCAUAUGUGCAUGUGAAGACAACCUAACAUUUGGAUGUUUGAGAUUGGAUGUUCGUAUGUUGAGAUUGAAUAUUCAACUAGUGAGGACCUUCCACAAAGCAACAAAAUUUGAAUGCUUGUUAUCAUUCCAGUAACUACAACCUAAGAUUGAAAAAUGCGAGGAGCAUCAUAGGGGCUGGUGAGAUCAUCCUGGAAGGAGAUUCCGCUAUGGUAAUCGAUUGGAUUCAGUACGCUGAGCGACAUGUAGAUGACCAUCCUCUUCUUAGCGAUAUAUGACAGAUGGUUAGAGAUUGUGACUCAUUUCAGGUUGCUCAUGUGUACCGGAAGGCGAAUAGGGUGGCUGAUUGGGUUGCUUCCUUUGCUGCCCAUUAUUCCGAAGAGGUCUCAUGGACAGGGUCUGAGAUUGUACCCCUAUCUUUAUGCCACAUAUUGUAUCUUGACUCUGUUGGUUGCACUCACGCUAGAUUAACGUGAGCAACCGUUUUACCAAAAAAGAUUGAAAAAUGUGGUUUGGUUAAAAUCCAAAUUUAUUAGGGUUACACUGGACUGCAUCUUUUAGGAAUUAUUAUUUGACAUCACAAAUGGUAUGGCAGUUAAUAUCUGAAGUUACCUUGGGUCGAAGAAGAUGAUGCAUCCAUAUUUGAAUGCAUCAUAAUUUAAAAUUCUUGUCUGAUGCUUGUGAUGGAAUUGCAUUUGGGAUUGUAAGUAUCAGAGUAAUGCAGUUUAUGUUGCUUUUGUUGUGGUAGACUCAGCUGAAGUGAACAAAACCUGCACCAAUUACAUUCCUGCUUUUGAAACUCGUGUGAACAUAAAAAAUGUUAGACAUGAGCCAUUACAUUCUUUUUAAUAUGGAAAGCCCUCAUGUCUUGAUAUCUACCAAUUCCAUGUCGAACUGAGUCGAAAACUAGUGGAUACUAUUUUGCAAUAUGGAACUCUUUUAUUUACUUAUUUCCACCCUCAUAUCUUUAAAUGAUACGUCGAUUCUUGCUAAUAUCAUGCAUGACAACAAGUAUUAUGCAUCAUUGUAACAUCAUCUUCUAAUGUCAUUUGACAUUCUAAAGAACUCUUUUUAAUAUUUAUUUCUCUGCAAUCAUUUGCACAAAAAAAUGAUCUUAAUACUGUACAAAAAAUUAGAACUUGAUCAGGUAUUAAUUUUUUUUGUAAUUUUGUAAAAUGAUAUGGAAACAAUUUAUGUGUUUGUGCUUUUUAUCAUUUGCCUUUCUUGGGAAAUUGAAAACUAAUGAACAAAUAACAUAGAACUAUAGAUUGUUCCGAGAAUGAUAUUUGCGCCAAGUCGAUCUUGCCUAUUGUUUUUAAUCUUGUUCUUUUCUUUGCCUAGUUCUGCUAAAGAAAAUUUAUCUUUUCUUCUCUGUUUUGUCUGACAGGACUCAUUUGAGCUUCCUCGAGGCGAAGCUUCUAGAGAUGGAGAUAUUGAAUUAGGAACCCAGGUUCCAAUGAAUUCUGGAGAACUGGGGUUGGAAGGCUUCUUCAAACAGGUAACUAUGGCUUCAUUUUGCUUAAAUGAGAGAUGUUUGCUAUUAUUAUUCUUUUGACAAACUAUAUGUACAGCUGUGACUAUAUCAUCCACUAAGCAGUAUAAUAUGCUUUCCUUCUUUCUGUUUCUGACUUAGGUUCAAGAUAUUGAAAAGCAAAUUGAGAAGCUCUCAAAACUAUUGAAGAAGCUUCAGGUAUUGAUGCUUAUGUUAUUUCCAGCUCACAAAGUUUAUUAGAUUAUGUUUUUGUUCAAUAUAGGUGUAAUAUCUUAUCCAUUUUCACUUACAAGGUUUCAAUAAUCUUCCAAUGCACCAUGAAUACCUAUUCGUGAUCACAGCUAGAUUAAACACAUUGUUUCUCAAUGUGGAAUCCCUACAUUUUGGAAAUGGUGGUUUGAUUAAGGUAGCUAUUUUUUGUCUGGCUAGUCUGACCAAUCCUGCCUGAUCUGUAAGAAAUCAUCUGAUUACUGAUUGUGGAUCUUAAUUUUUGAAAUUAAAUUACAAGUCCAUUCCACGUCUUUAAAUUAAGAAUCCAGAUAUUGCCCGUACAGGUUAUAUGGUUUAUAAAAGAAUAGGGAUCAUGAUAAAUUCUAAGAAUGUAAUAGUGUUGGCAUUUAAUGUACUAUUUUUUAUGGAGGGUGUUUGAGCAUGAUAAUACUAUGUUAAUCUCCUAACGUGAUGGGUUUGUAAGGCUUUCCAUUGAGCAUUAGCAAUCAUAUGUGUGCUAAAUGCUAAUUUGUAUAGGCUAGGACAUGGAUGUUCUUAUUUGUGGUUAUUUUGGUGGAAAGGUAAAGUUCUUUCCUAAGAUAAAACAAAUGUAGAAGUUACCUUUUGGCCUAGGCGAUUGUGUGUGGUGUGGAAAAACUACAUAGAUCCGCAUUUUAGUUUCCUGGAGUUGGACCAGCCUUUCAAUGAUUGCAGUCUUAUCGCAGGACUAAUGGAGAAAUAGUUGAUCAUAUAGAGGCAUAACAGUCUUUUCGCAAUGACAUGCUUGUCUUGGUUGAAGCUUGUCUUGCUCUGUGUUCAUUUCUUUUAGGUGUUUGUUAGUUAAAGAAGUGAAACUAUUUUGGAAGGUUUUCAUAAGUCUUCCUUUUGGAGACUAAGGAGAGUGAAAGCCGUUGUUUAGUUUUUUUUUGAGGAAAAGCCUUUAUUUAGUUCUUAGUAGCAGCAAAUUCCAUUUCGGCUUGCAUACCCGCUUCUGAAUCUUUCCACAGAGUCAUUCCUGCACCCACUUCCUAAGCAUUUUGUCUUUAACAUUUUUAAAGAGACCUGCUUCCUUGUACCCACAACCGAACCCACUUCAGGUAACUAAGGUUUACUUGCAAUGCGGCAUAAGUUUUGAAGUGCUUAAUGGGCUUGAACUUGAAAGCCUGAAGGUUUUACUUUGUCUUCACAAGUGGUUGUGGUGACUUUGGAAGUGUUUAAUGGGCUCGAUUUUAAAGUUUGAAGUUUUACUUUGGUUAUGACCAAGUAAAUGGCUGUUUUAUGCUUAAUUUGUGAUCUUAUUCGCACUCUGUUAUUGUGCGGUUGUUUAAAUAUUGUUCCUCCAUAUUCUAAUUCUUCUUUAUAAAGCAAGAUGUUUUAUUUAAUGAAAUUGUAGUACAAGACUAAAACUAUAGUGGUGUUAUUUCAAGUACUUCUAGGGCUCAGAUGGUGAAGAUCUGCUGACUGCUUCUGUUCCUUAAUGAUGACUUAUUGUGCCUCCCUGCUGCUAAGUUUCUGGUUGCAUAUGCAGGAUGCUAAUGAGGAGUCAAAAGCUGUUACCAAGGCAGCUGCUAUGAAAGGUAUUAUGGAGAUUCAAUAGUUAAAUAUAAUUCGUUAGCUAGAUCUUCAAAAGGGAACCUGCAUGCUUCUUUAGGUUCAAUUUUGUCUUCUAGUUGACAUCCAUAGUACAAUUUAGUACAUAACUGGUUGCAGCCAUCAAGCAGCGGAUGGAGAAAGAUAUUGAUGAAGUUGGGAAAAUUGCACGACUAGCAAAAUCAAAACUUGAAGAACUAGACAGAGAGGUAUGCUGCUUCAAUCUUUGGCUUGUUAUAAUGAGAAGAGAAGGCAGUGAAAUUUGCAGUCUGUUUCAAAAUUUUAAUAUUUUCACAUAAAAGUUAGGAAAUAUCUCAGCCAAAAUUCAAUUUAUGAGGCACAUAGGAACGUUUGUUGACUUGUUUGGGAUGGCUUUAUCUUCUUUUUUAUCCAAAGAGUUUUUCAUAGUUCUAUUUUGACCAAUAAUUUUUUACUAUUUGGCACUAUUAGAAGAUUAAUCUUUCAUUUAGUCAUUUUGUUGCAUCUUAUAUAAUUGGUAAAUUUCUCCAAAAAUCCAAGGAAAUUGAAGAUAUGAAGCACUGCUGAUAUUUAAAAUAUUUAUUUGUAUUAUGUUGCUUCUAUUGUGAAUAUUAUUUUCUUGAUCUCUUUUCCAGUGAAGAUCUUUGUUGUUUUCUAUAUCACACUGUAAAAUAUUACCAUUUUUGAACAUUUUUUCUUUUAUUGAUUCUUUGGGAACAUUUUCAAAAUUUCAAUUAAUGCUGUCUCUGUUCUUCACUUUGAGUUAGCUAAGCAUACAUUAGUUCUGACAGAAGUUUUGAUUAUACCACAUUAGUUUCUGUUGAAGAAGAAAUACUUAUCUGGCUUAACUAAUUUAAACAUUUAUAAUUAAGUUUUAGGUAAAUCGUUUUGUUGAAUCAUUUGGGACACUUUUUUUGCUACUUUUCACUUGUAUCAGAGCUAUGAGAAUUUGACUCAAACCUUAAAUCUCACUGACUUCAGGAUUUAUUUCUUACUUCAGAAUCUAGCCAACAGACAGAAGCCUGGAUGUGGAAAGGGAUCAGGCGUCGAUCGAUCUAGGACUGCAACUACCAUGUAAAUUUUCAUGUCAAAAUCAGUGUUCAUUUUCUUAAAUAUUUAUUAUGAGAAGUACUUUGAGUCUUUGACAGUUACAUCUGUCUCACUUACUGAGUUUGAGUGCAGUGCAUUGAAAAAGAAGUUGAAAGAAAUGAUGUCUGACUUCCAGGUAAUGCAUAUAUUCCCCAUAAUUCACAACAAAGCAAUCAUUUUCUGACGACACCUGUAUAUCUCAAUCUUUUUAUUCUACAUUUUUGUGACUUUGUGGUAAAGUUACAUGACUUUUGUUCUGACAGAAGAGGAUUUUGAAGGCAAAAUAAAAGAAAAUGCCUUUUUUUCUUUCUUUACUUAUUUCAUGAGACAAGUUUCUUAUUAUUAUAGAGCAAUAUCUCGACUAUGUUGAGGAAAUUAGUUGGUAAUUUUCAUUAAAUCUAUCAGCCUUCAUGACAGAAUACUGGUACUGAUGCUACAAGUUGGUUACAAAUUUUCUCAAAAGAGAAAGAAACUUUUGCAAACUUAUGAUGUCAUUAUACUUUCCAUUUUCGAAUAGAUUGUUUACUUGAUCUGUGUCACCAUCAAUUUAGUGGUAAGUGAUAAUCAGAAGCAGGAUAAUGCAAGACAAGGUCUCCUAAGCAGAACUUCUUGCAGAAAAUUACUCUUCUUAAAAUGUUCCCAGGUAUACAGAAAAGACUACUUAAAAGUUGAAAAGAAUAAAGGAAUCACUCUACAAAACAAAGAUCUCUCCUACCAGCUCAUCAGCAAAUCACCGCAUAGUACACAAUAGCCCAACUUUCAACAUUAUAAGCAUAUUAUCAUUGAGAAUCUUCUUAAAGUUGACUCCAUGAUAAACUUAACUUUCAAACCAAAGAAGAGUGCCCUGUCGUGAAUUCCUAGAGUUCUCCUGCUUGAAAAUCAUUACACUCCAUAUCCUUGUUAAUGCCCUUAAUUAAAGGGUUUUGGCUUUGCCUAUUCUUUUCUUUUUUUUUAAAAAAAAAAACCCAUCAUAGUGAUGCAAGUGUGUCUUGCUCUUUUUUCUCCCUGAGGCUAAGGCAUCCAUCUAGUCUUGGUUAGAGGAGAGGCGAUUAGGAGAAUGACCUCCUUUAUAUUUAUUAUUGUAGUCAGUAACAGAAACAAAGGAGGAUGGAGCGAUGUAUUUCUUUCCUUCUCCUCUUUGACGGUUUUAAGCAUCUAGUUAUCAUCAGGACCUCCAACCAAUCUCAAAUAGAAGAAAGAUAGUGGACAAUUCCCACUUUUCCCUAUUCAAAACAUCAUCAAUAAGAGCAUAGGAAGUUAGGUGCUAUGAUAUCCAUAGAACAUCCCUUUGGCUUCUACUCAAUGAAAAGUCCUAAUCCUAUCCCUAACAAUGGCAUGUGACAUUAGAUAUAGCACAAGAAUACUUCAGUUAUUUAUCAACAUAUAAAAGCAACACAGAGGAGUCAUCACCUUAAAGCACAUAAGAUAAGUAGGUCAUGUGAGGAUUCAACUAAGAACAAACCACUAGAUCAAGUAAAUGAAGUUUUAAGGAUAGUGACGUGCCUUACUCUUCAUUCAGUCAACAAUUCAACAAUGUAUUUUGCUUUGUAACAUCCAUUUUUCCCAUUGCAUUGGCAUGCAAAAUGAACGAUCACAUAGACUUUUUUAACUCCUAAAGAAGUGAAGUUAUUGAUCCAUCUUGUCUUCUCUUUUAACUGUUCAUAUCCCUCCCAAAAAACCCAUGUAUUGUCCAAUUCUGCUAGGUUGGUAAUCGACUAAGAUGUGCACUGUUUAUUCGUCAGGAGAGUUUGUUUGCUCCCCUUUGCUCUCUUUGUUCAUAUUCUCAAUGAGAUGAUGCUGUUGGGUUUGCUGUCAUUUUGCUCAGGAAAACAAAAGGGUGUACACUUUGCAUAUAUUUUUUUGCCACCAAUUCAAUAAAAUUUUGUUUAUUGCAUUAAAUCUCCAAUGCAACGUUGGUUAUAGGAAGGUUUUACAUUUAAGAGGAGCCUCUGGCCCAAGUAUUGAUGCACUCAAAAUCUCAAACAAAGCAAUGAAGUAAUGCUCCAGCAGUGAAAGGGCAACGUGGAACACAUUCACCAAGUAUAUCUAACUCUUGUUGGUAUUAGUUCGUCCACAACCACCAAACAAGUGCAUAUAAUUUGUUCCAUUCUAAUAAAUGUUUUCUUUGAAUUUUAAUCAUAAAAUUGUCCUGAACAUAUUCAAGAUACAUUAUCUGUAGAAGGAUUCAAUCUACCUCUAAUCUUAAUGGCCCAGUUAAGAGUUAAGCCAACCAUGCGAAAUCCUGGAAGGAUUUUAUCACAGAAGUCAAGAAGAAAUUCAUUUGAUCUUGGUCUACCAGCAAUUGUGCUUGCUAUACCAUUUGAAGUGAUUUUUUGAGCUGUGGGAUCUCUUUAAUGCCAUAAAUCUUGUUUGAUUUCAUAAUAACACUAUUAAGAACGACUACUUCUCUUUCUUUCCCUUGGGUCAGAGCUUGUUAUGGUGGAUUUGUUGCCCACAUUAGUCUGUCUUUUGCAAUCCAAUCAAAUGAAAUUUCUCCUAGUAGCCUGAAUUUUCCCCCCUUCUAGAUGAUUCCUUGAAUAUUUUUUGAAAACUAUAGUUCACCACUACCAGACCCAAAACUGCUUCUAGUUCAGGUAACUAAGGAAUUUUCCCUUCUUUUUUUGAGCUCUCUCUUUCCAUAAUUUUACAAGCACCAUAUGGCACAACUAUAUACAUGCAUGAAUGAGCAAUUACAUAUGAGUGUAUUUGCAUGCAUGUGUGCAUGCUGGGGCUCAGGUGUGUUGGACUGCAGGUGUCUGUCCACCUAUCAUUUUUAAGGUUCUUCUGUUGCUUGAAACAUGCUAAGAAACUCCAGCAAUGCUUAGGUACUUAGAUUUAGUUGCCAAGAUCGGGAAACUAUACUCUUUUCUAAUCACUUUGGACUUCAUAUUUUCUUGCUGACAUGAUUAUUGCAAAAUUUCUCCAUAGUAUUUACUUUCGAUAAAAUUGAAGAAAAAUUUCUGAAUAGUUUGCUCAGCAGUUUCCAAAAAAAUCUGUAUUUAGACCAUGAUCUAUGCUCUAGAGGUUGAUUUCCGUUAGCUUCUCACAAAAAUGAAAUUAAAGAAAAAGGUGCGAAUGAGGAAAAUAAAUGAAACACAAACCAUUUUUUAGAGGUUUUCUAUUGGGGGCAGUUUUUUAGCUAAAAUUAGCCCAUUGAAACUGACCCAUUUCAACCAAACCUAAAAGAAAAGGGGAGGUUUACACUUUGUUUCCUAAAUUGAAUGAUAUGGGUUAAGAAUGUAGAGAAAGUUAUUGUCCUGAUUUAUAUUAUGCAAGAUGAUAAAUUUUUCAUAGUUACCAAGAAAUCUUUAAUUCAAAUCACUAAAUGAUAUUCUCAGUUUCUUAUAUACAAUUUUCGGUGCAGGCUCUGAGGGAAAAAAUUCAGCAAGAAUACCGGGAGGUUGUUGAGAGAAGGGUUUUUACAGGUUUGUCACAGUUGUGUUGAAAAUCAAAAUAUUCUUGUAGAAUGUAUGGAUUAUCUUCUUAGGCUUUUAUUUUUAGCUACUUUGCUCACUAUCUGCUUUAUUUUUCCUUCUGGACUUCCAUAAAAACAGUAACAGGCAAUCGUGCUGAUGAAGAGGUGAGGUAAUUCUUUGUAAAGGCCUAAAUUUUUGGCGGGUCCUACUGCUAAUUUUAUAUUUAUGUUAUUGUAUGGUUGCUUUAAAUUAACAGACAAUUGACCGAAUGAUAGAAACUGGAAACAGUGAGCAAAUUUUUCAGAGAGCAAUUCAGGAGCAAGGACGUGGCCAGGUUUUUCCGAUACAUCAGUAUACAUGUUUCUGAGUCAAAUUUACAUCAUAAUUACUUGGAAAAAUUUCACAUAUGUUUAUUUCUAGACUGCAUCCCUCGUGAAUCUUGACAUGAGUAUAGACAGACUUGAGUGCUAGGGUAUUUUCCUUCUGGUUGCAGGUACUGGACACCCUUGCAGAAAUCCAGGAGCGUCAUGACACUGUUAAAGAAAUAGAGAGGAAACUUCUUGAUUUACAGCAGGUAAUUCUACAUUAGAAAAUGCAAAAUAUUUCAUUAAGUUAUCCUAACCCGACAAAUAAUUUUAUUAUGUCUAAGUUUGGGGGCCAGAUAUGAUUGUUUUUUGAUGAGCUGGCUGACUUAUCAUAUUAUCAUGUAAACAGCCCUAACUAAGACCACUACCAUUAUGAAAAAUAAAAAAGGUCAAUCCUCAACAUUUUAGUAACCAGGAUGCAGCAUAAGCUUUCUAAACUCUGAAAUUUGAUACCGUUGAUUGUGAUCCUAAAUUACAAAAUUGACCAGACCAUAUUAGUUUCGAACAUGGCAAUUUUGUAAUUCCUGCUUUAGUUUCAGCAAUUUUGGUAAAAAUAUCAUCAAGAAAUAAACAAAUGUCAAUUAGAAUAGGGAAAAUAAAAAUGAUAAGAAACUGAUAUGAGUUGAGAAAAAUAGAUUAUACCUUAUUUUUAAAAUAUUAUGUAGGAGCAUUGGAUUACUUUGAUUUCAUGCUGAGAUAAUUAAAAAUACUGUUCUUUAAAACUUUAAGUGCUCAAUAUAAUAUAUUAUUUUGCUGUUUGAUUGCAAUCUAACAAACAGCAAUAGUAAUAGUUUUGAGAUAUGAGUUUUAGAAUAGCCAAGCGUACACCUGAAAAAAUUACCUUUUUCUGUAGAUCUCUUUGGGAUCUAACUUUGCAAUGCUUCCAACUUAUAUCAAACUUGCAAGAUCUCACUUUAAUUUGGAGAAAUAAAGGAAUGCAGAAAUGACAAAAAUUUAACAUAAACUAGUUCUAGCCAGUAACUCCCACACCAACUCCACUUCCUUAUUAGUUUUUGGCUGAAACUGAAACUUUUCAGGUUCGGUCUCAGAGUAUUCAGUAUUAGAUCAAACUUCAAACCACGGAUGAGGAAACCCUAUCUAAAAGAGAUGAUAUUUAGCUAAAGAGCGGAGGAAAACAAAUUAAGAUGUAUUUUUAAAGGACGCAGAAUCUUGAUAUGUCUGUUUGUGUGGUCUAUGAGUUCUGUCCUUGCAGCAUGCUUGUCCUUUCAGAAUCUAAAGGGAGGUUGACUACUUGAAAGAUUCAUCCCUUAAUUUACCUUGUGUUAUGCUUUCCUUUUUCCUUCCUGCUGAUGCUGUUAUUCAUUCUCUCUUGCCACCUAUAGAAACCAUCUAAUCCAAUUUUUUGUAGAUUUUCCUCGACAUGGCAGUGUUGGUCGAGGCACAAGGCGACAUGCUGGAUAACAUCGAAACCCAGGUAUGAUGUCAUCUUCUUGACAAGGACUGGGUAUCUACGAUGGAUAUCAUUACUCUUCAUAAUUGGAAUGGAGUCAUUUAUUAUAUUCCUGGUGCACCGUGUCCGUUCCCGUUCAUUGUUGGUGGUAGAAUGAGGAACAUAUAAAAUUCACAUAAUUGCAAAGGGGAUGCUCUUCUAUGAGCUUUUACGGUUGUGGUAUGUUUUCCUGCAGGUUUCAAGUGCUGUUGACCAUGUUCAGUCUGGAUCGACUGCUCUGCAAAAGGCAAGGAGGCUACAGAAGAACUCCCGAAAAUGUAUGUGCAUAGCCAUGCUUAUCCUUCUCAUAAUCGGCGUCAUUAUUGUUUUAGCUGUGAUCAAACCUUGGUCAAAAAACUGAUAGUGUUUCAGAAGUAGACAUGCUGAAUUACGAUAAGUUACGGAUUGUAUCGUUUUGUAGUUAAUAUGUACAUGUUGCCUGUUAAAUGUAACUUCUUCUGCGUGCUUAAUGACCCAGUCUUGUGCAUUAUUCAUAAUUUCAUAUUGUUGGUUCGGCAUCAAGGCCUCACUUGACUUGAGAAGAAAUGAUCAUGGGGCAGGGAGAUUAUUAGCAGGACCGGCUUCCGCAUUACGUUUAGUCCCUGUUGGCCAAACAUUCUAUUUCUGCUCCUUGGUUUAGAUGGAUAUGUUGUGAUUCCUGGCCCAUGCAUAAGUGCAUAUAUAAGAGGUAUGGUUGUGUAUAGAUAGAUCUAGGUUUAACUUUGGGCAAGGGACUAAACAUACAGAGGAUAACCGAGUAAGGAUUAAUCAUCAAUUUGCGGCCUCUACGAAGGAGACCUUAAAAAAUUAGGGUUACAGGGUCCCUGGCUGGGCAAGUAGCCCUUUACCCUUAAACAGAUGCUUGCUUGGAUUUUAAUCAAGGUUGUGUUUGAGAGUUGUAGAUUGUUUUAACAUUUUUUUUUUGUUAAUUAAUAUAUGCUUAAAUGACUGGUCAACUGAUCCCAUUCAUAGUGUCAGACUCUUGAUCUGUUUUUGUCCUUCACAAGCUUCCUUGCAUGCUUGCACAUCAUGUGGCUAAUGGAAGCAGGUAAUUUCAACCAGAGUGAUGAAUUUAGUCAUCCAACUGAUACCUUCAUCUAUGGAAACAUUCGGAAUUACGUCACACAUUAAAGACAUUAUCAAUACGACUAAAAGUUAUAGUCUGAUCAAUGGAGGGACCGGCUAUCAAUAUAUUGUUAUUUAUAUAUAAAUGGGAUUCAGAAUGACUAGCAACCAUCGUGAAGGCUUUCUUUCUCUUUUACAUUUUUUCUUUAUUUUUUUUAAGAAAUGCCUCUAAAACAGGGCAAGCCUAAUCUUCUUUGCCCGGCAAAUCCAUGAGCUACUAAUAUUUGGUUAGUUCUAAACUAUAAAAUUAUAGGAGAGGGUGGGGGUUGGGGAAAAAACUCACCUGCUAUAAAAUGUGGGAAGGCAUUUUUCAGGUAAGUAAUCAUGUGGCAAGCUAUCAAAUUUCUCAACUUUGAAAUAAAAUUCACAACAGAGGGAAAGAAGGGCAACAUUUUACUUGAAAUUACAGCCAUGCUUGUCACAACUUUGGAAGUGCAAGACCCCAAAAGAAACAAAACCCUAACAUCUUUUUCUUUCUUUCUUUCAAAAUAUUAAAAGAGCUGAAGGGGAUUAAAAGAUAAAAUUCAGAGGUAAAUCAUAAACAAACUCAGCAAAGCUACAUGAGAGUUUUAAGUACGCUACAAAAAAAUAUACAAUUAGGCAGGACACCUUUUUCUCCUCUGAUGCUUAUUUUGAAAGCUCAUUUAGAGAGAGAUUUUUCGCCAACUUUAUGCAUGAUUUCAGCUUUCUUUGCCUAGAACUUAAAGCUGCAACCCACUACCAUAAAAUCUCCCACUCCCAGCUUAAAACAAAGUGAUGUAUAAACCAAGGCACCCAUGAGAGCAUCCUACUUCCAUUCAUUUAAGUGGAUAGAGGAGGGGAAAAAGCAUUGAAGUAAACCAAUUCAGAAGUCUACCAAACACUUCAAAUGCUGCUGAAAAAUAAAAAAUAUCUAUGGAUAGCCAGAAGCCAAACAAGUCUCCCAGAAUACCCGGUCCUCUUCGGUAGAAUCCACUCCUCCUUCUUUCUCUAAUCCCGUCGUCCCCCUCGGCGACCAUGUCAUCACUCUUUCAUUCUCCUCCAUGCUAGCAUCAUCUUCAUCAUCAACACCACCAUCAUCAUUGUUGAAGCUGUUGUGGUUUGUGUGGAUGUUGUCAUGUGGGUCAUGGGUGCAUGACUCUCUGUCAUCUUCAUCAACGACUGCUGCUUCCUCCAUGGUUAGGAUGGUGUGCCCGGCGACGGCAUCCAAGUCGGCCUCUGAGUCGCCGCUGGCUUCCAUUGCUGGUCUCUAGGAAUUAAUGGUUGAGGUCUUGGUGGAUGGAGAGCACAUAUUGCUUUCUAAGGGGCAGAGAAGGCCAUGGUUGAUGUGAUGGGAAGAGUGACUCCAGAAGAAUGGAGAAGUCUGCCAAUGCCUGUGUGGUAUUUCUACUUGCCUACAUCUAUAUGCAAAAUAUGCUGCGAUGACUGAUGGUUAACUUUAUGGAAAACAAUGUUGCAAGAUAACAAGGAAAUAGUUUCUAUUACUUUUUCAAAAGAAUAACUGUGGAAGCAUCAUAUUAUAGAAUUAUCUAGGUUAAAUACACUUAAAAUUAAAAAUGAUACCCCACAAUUAAAAUCCAGACCUCCUCUUAUGUGGAGGAUGGAUGAAUUCACUAGGCUACUAUAACUUAGUUCAUUUUCUCUCCAUUAUUUUGCGAGACUAGAUUUCUUAUGAGCUAAAAUGGUAGAUGGCUGUGAAUCUGAUCGAACUGGCUUGUUUUACAAUUCCACAUAUAGGGUGUAGUUGACCUGAUCUUGAUUGGUUUUUGGUUUGAUCAUUCUCAAACUUAAAAUCAAAGCUGAAGUUUGAGCUUAAUUGCAAUAUGUUUAUUAUUUAAUGGAGUCUAAUUUUACCACAAUCUUAAGCUGCGCCAACGAUGAGUAAUUUCAAUCACGAGGAUAAUCUUAUGUGGAGCCAAAAUUAAUUUGAGUUUGUAUCAAACUCUCGAUUGAGCUUAAAGCAAGUUUCUCGAUCUCAAUCUUCCUUUCCAUCUUUUCUUGAUCAAACUAAGAUGACAUUUUUUGUGUGUGAGAGAGAGGGAUGAGGAAGAGACCCACCUUUACUAUAAAUAAACAGGUUCAGAUUUUUGGCGAUGAACCAUUCAAGAAUCAAACUAGAUUUAGGCCCUAAAAGGAGAAGGAAGGCUGGAAUGCCAACAAACGUUUGUUUAUUCUCUAAUUCAUCCGACCCGAUAGUACCCAUUUUGGGAACGUCCAGUGACAAAUCAUUGGAUGGGUAAGUCACCAAUCCCUAAAAUGAAUGUACUUUAUCUGUUGCCCCUCCAGAGAUCUGAUCCACCUUUCUAUCUGACUACUUUCUACGACGAUUCUACAUGAAAAAAUAGAAUGUCUUUUUCCACGCUACGUGACGAAUGAGAGAUCUGCGCUGAAACUGAAAGUCUACGAGCAACGAGAUUAACUCGGAAGGACGAACUCAGAAAACUUCCAAUGAGGAACUAAUAAAGUGACUGUGAAAAAGCUUUCAGCAACAAAAGAGAGAAGAAAUUUAGUAAGUAGUAGUAAAAAAAAUAUAGUACGCAUUCCCUGCUCCAUCAGAAUGAACUAUUGAUUUACGUAAUUGGAAAUAACUAAUUAGGUGUACGAUAAAAUCUAGAAAUCGAUCACUAAUCUAAUUUGAGUACCUCUAUGGGAUAGACCUCAACAGAAAACUGUUGAGUAACGGCAACAAGAAUAUCUCUUCUUUCCCCUUCCUAUGCAAGCCUUCUUAGCUAAUGGAGACAGAACGGAGUCAUUGACUUUUCCUAUAGAGCGAUAGACAGAACUAAAGUGAAUCUCUCUGUUAGGCAUGAUGACAGUCUACGUUUGGUUGCUGAGCAGAGGGGUGUGACCACCGAGACAAGCCCCAUUUCAAAGUUAAAGGUGAAAUUCAACUAUUGAACUAAACUUAAUAGUUGAUUUACACUAGCUACAAUAUAUAAGAUGCAAAAUUUAUUUCAAACCUAUUCGUUUUAAUUUGACUUGAAAUGAAUUUCAAGCUUAUGUUAGAGUUUUCAAGCUUGGUUCAAUUACAUUUAAAUGAAGCUUGAUUUGCACUUUGAGCUAAGAUCGAGCUGCUCAAACAAACUGGCAACUCUAUCAAAUAGAAAGCAUAAUCUGCUUUUUCCUCGUUCUAGACCCGUAUUUGUUUAAAAGAGAGAAAGAAGAAGAAAAAAAAGAAAAAAUAAUUUUGCGUCGCAUAACCAAUAACUGCAAAUAUUCAGAGCGUCUAAAGCAAGAAAAGAAUUAUUUAGGAAAGAUUGGGAUUCUUAGCACUGUAGCUUACCAAAGAACCCCACAAAAUCCUGCAUAUAGUUGAAUUGUAACUUCCUGUUGCUUGGAUUCUACUAGCACCUUUUGAAAGUUGCACCUGAGCUGUAUGACUUUUUUCUCCGAGAUCUCUUUGUUACUAAAGCAUGCGACAUGCUCCGGUAGCACAGCAAUCUUGUACAAAAAGGGUUCCAUGAGCUCAUGCUUUAGUGGCAGAGGAUUUUCAUGGAGUUGGUUACUAUAACAACCCAGGAUCUCACCAAAAAAAGCUAGCUGGAAGGUAUUAUUUGGACUUCUUGAUCCUAUAUAAGUAUCCAAGAUUUAUCCAGCGAAUAACCGAUGUGGGACUAAAUACGGGCCCGCACAGAUCCUCACAUACUUCCCUCGUUUAAGCCCUGACGUCCUCGUCAGGCUAAGAGUUUAAAUCCAUUUAAAUCUAAUCACAAACACCACGAUCGGCCCGUAGUCAGCCUCAAUGGACCCGUGCUGCAGUGUCUCCUAGUCCACAUAGGUUAUGAGCCAGGUCCGCUCUGAUACCAUUAAUAACCCAGGAUCUCAUCCAAAAAGGUUAGCCGGAAGGUAUUAUUUGGGUUCUUUGAUCAUGUAUAAAUACUUAAGAUCUAUCCAGCGAAUAAUCGAUAUGGAACUAAAUACACGUCCGCACAGGUCUCACAGUUACAGUAGCCAUGCUCCCUAUCUAUAUCAUUGCAAUGCUAGAUGGAGCCAAACAGAAGAAAUGCUCCAUGUGAUUGUUAAUCUGACAUAUUGGUAAGCGUGGUGUUUCCACAUGCAUUGUCGCAUAAUGAUAUGUGAUAGAGUAACCAACUGAGGGCUCCAUCAGCACAAGUUUAUAUGAUACACAAUAUCAAGGGCAGAGCCAGAAAUUUUAUUCAGGGAGCAUCAACAUGUUGCUUAGUAAUUAACCUUUGAAGCUAAAUCAUAAUCCUCGCAAUCGUUUUUUUAUUAUUUAUUUAUAGGAGACAACAACUUUCAUAUCAUCAUUGUUUUCCUUAAAUCUUUCAGUCAAAUAUGGUACAUAAAUUAUUUAUAUCAAUUAUGCAAUAACACUUAAUAGUUCAAAAUCAUUUGCUAAUAAUAUUGUAUUGUGAAAAUAUGUCAGUAUGUUUCAUUUAUUAUUAUAUUAUUUUGUUCAUAAUUUGGAGACUUAAACUCUGAGCAACUAGUGCAUUACAGAGAAAAGGUAGAACUUUUGAUUCAUAUGUUCAAAUCUGUACUAAUACCAACAGUGUGCAAGUCUAUCUUCAAAAUAAAAGCAUAAAAAACCAUAUAUUAAUAAAAAUAAUAAAUAUGUAUAAUAAAAGAAAUAUAUUUAAAGUAACGAAUAAUACUACAAGUAUCAUGUUUUGUCGUACCGGCCUGAAGCCCUGAACCGAGCAGUGCAGGAGUAUACUGUAUCGGUUCGAUACUACGUACCAACACUCAGUAUAUCGAAAAUAUCUUAUACCAUACCGUACCGACAUAGUACUAGUAUGGUACUGAUACGAAAUCCGGUACCGAGAUAACGAAUCUUGAAAUAAUUUUUUCUUUUUCUUUCAGAAUAGAUUUUCUCCUUUUUCUUUUUCAACUUGUCUUAACGUAGUAGAGACUGAGAAGAAAAAAUAAGAAUUAAUUCAUAGGUUUUACACCUCGUUGCUGAGAUGCAAUACGAGCACUCGACAACCCCGAGUACAAGGUAGAUUAAUAAAGACUAACCCAUUCUAUUUAACACAACCUUUCUGGUUAAUUGUGGAACAUAGUUGUACAACUAACAAAUAUUUGUUGUGAAUCAUAUUUGUAGUCUCUUAUGAAAAAUUCAUGCAAUUAGGAUUGUAGAGAAUUCAUUCUCUUGAGGCACAAGACAUGUCAUGAAGCUUUCAUGGUUAUCUCAAGUGACAUCAUGCAUCCUUUAUUCCAAUAUAGUGGCUCGACUGUUCAAGUCCUGCAAGUUAUAUAUAAAUACCCUUGCCAGAAUGAAUGGAGGAGGCUAGGAGAGAGAGAGAGUGCCAGGCCAACUACAGGUAUUCAGUCAGAAUUCUUUACAUGAUACCCUUGCCACAAUGGAUGGAGGAGGUUAGGAGAGAGUGCUGGGCAAAAUUUUUUCAGAAUUAAUAAAAUAUAAUUUGUUUGGAAAUUGAUAUGGUUUGAAAGCCUUACCAUGUCAACCUAUUAGCUUUACAAAAAUGGAUGCUGUUUAAAUCAAUACAGUUGAGUUCUGGUGGAGCAGUUGUAUGACCUGAUAUAACUGAGCUCUAGUUAUAACUAUAUUUCUGCUGAAACAAUUAUUUUAUUAAAUUCUGUCAGUUAUUAACCCUAUCAAAUUUUAACAGAGUAUUUAGCUCAAAAGGAAGGCAUUCCUUAUGGUUCCAAAAUCAAACAUACAUCCCAUCAAAUUCCUUCCCUCUAAUAUCCUGCUAAUUAAUUAACUACUUAAUUGGAUUCUCUAAAUCUAUUAGUGAAAAUUCAACCAACAGAAUUAGUGCUUUUAUUAUAGCUGUGGACAAGCUUCUUGUACACCAGACAGCAACAGCAUAUUACUGGCUGGUAUGGAUUUGACAGGCGAGAUUCUUUCAGACUCAGCUAUAAGGACACCCAGGCCAAUAAAAUGCAGCUUUUUUUUUCAUAGUUUCUAAUAUCAACAGACAUAUCGUAACCUGAUCGUUGGCUCAAAAUUACUUCGUACAAACUUUAUAGCUUAAUAUCAAAACGAAAGGGGAGCCCGUUCAGAUUUUUAUUAAAAAAAAUUGCUAGCAUCAAUAGUAAAAUUGCGUGCAUGUUUAGCACCACGAAAACUAGUGCUUGUUUGGUUGGGCGACAUAUCAUCCGUCUCGACAGAAGCGGCCCAAUAUAUUUGGAGCCUAAGAGCGUUAUGUCUUUGAGACCUUUCCUGUAGUGCGCUGGCCUAAGGCAAACUCAUAGAGAAGCCUUUUUUUCUUUUAUUUUGUCUUUGAGGUUUUUCUGCAUCAAAGAUUGACCAGAGCUUUAGUCGACCACCUCAAUCGUCUAAAGGUUGGGUCGGCCCUGCAUCUCGAAGAUGGAUGCCUGAAGCCCAUUGUAUUGGCGUGCCAAACAUGAUGGAUUAAGAGACGGGUGACGGCCGUCCAAUUUUUGAGAUGGGCGAUGUAUCGUCGAUCUAAACAUGCACCGGCAUCUGCAGAGCAAAACACGCACCAGAGAGGAUGCUGGCUCCGUGGAGAUGGGUGCUGCUAGUAUUGCCCAUCUGAAUGGCAAUUAAGUGCACACAGAUUGGCUCUUGCCCUACGUUGUUCAAGCGUUGUGGUCUAUGGGAGCCACCCUUCCAGAAGAAGGAGAAUAGAUGCCAACCGAGGGAAGCAAUAAUGGAGGAUCCUAUGGAAGGAAAGGUGGCGGAAAGGUGAGAUGGACCCACGCAUGCAGCACCCCUGGCCUUUUUCUAGAAGAAGAGGACAGCCAGCCACACUAAGCUAACAUCUCAUUUACCUUCGAAGGUGAAGGUCAAGAGAAUCAUGGAUUAGAGUUUUAGUGAAGCAUACUGUUUGAUCAUAAACAUUGGUGGACUUUGUUUAAAACCAGCAUGACCUUCAAGAAUAAUGAGAUUUAGAUGGAUGGAUAACAUGAAUGGUUGAUGGGUACAAUACAAGAACUCCGUGUGACUAAAGUUUGAUAUGAAACUUCAGAGUUAGAGCAAGUUUUUAAUAUGGCCUUGUAGUGAUAUAGUUCAAGCAAAGAGAGAAAGUUGAUGUAGCGCCUUCCAGGCAGUGCACGUGUAACGAGAGACGAGCAGAGCUGCAAACUGGGUUGCUUCUUACGCUGCACAGCACUCCAGAGAGAAAUUUUGGCCACACCAGAGGCUCCCCCUCGCACCUGAGCCAGAUUGUAGCCCUUGAUUUUGCUGGCUGCUCUUACACUAGAGUGGGAUGAGCAGCCAUUGUACCAAAAAAAAAAAGAGAGAGAAAGUUGAUGCAUGUUUUAUAACAUAUAACAGUCAUGAUGGUUUGACACCUUUCUUAUGUUAUAUUUGGCAUAUGAAUCACUCUUUCUAUGGGUUUAACCACUUGUGUAUUUGUUAUUUGACUAUGUCCUAUAUAUUUUUUAACUAAGUGAUAGGAGAAACAAGAUAUUGUUUAUAAUUAAAAGUUGUUACUUGUUAAAUUAUCCUCACAUAUGUUAAAUGGUAUACAGUAUGAAAUUUUAGAAUUUUAAAGUCAUCACCUAAUGUAGUUCUUGAUGGUAGUGUAUGCCUUAUAUUUGGUGCGAUGUAAUAAUCCAGCUAAAAUUUCAAUACUUAGAUUUUUUUUGUCUUCAGAAAUAUAAAAAUAGAGAUUCAAUUUCUAUUUUUUCUAUUUAUAAAGAAUAAAUAUAUUAGAUAUAAUCGAUGGUUUUUAAAAUAUUAUUAGCAAUGGCAGCGCCUCCACAAUGCGGUGGAAGUGGUAGUAGUGUAGUGGAGAUUCUUACUUCUGAUGGGGAUGGCAAAGGGGAUAGCAAUAGCAAUGGUAUUGAUAUUAGUAAUAAAAACAUGAAUUUUUUAAUUUUAAAAAUAUUCAAAAUAAAAAUCUUAUCUUUUUUAAAAAAAAUAAAAAUAAUUUUAAAAAUAUAAAAAAAGUAUCAAUCAAGAAAUAAAAGUGAUGCUAAAUGGCUCUUAGCUUUGUUCUUAGAUUAAGUUAAAUAUCAAUCAAGGAAAAGUGGGCACUUAACUGACUAUUACUAACAGCUAUUAGCAUGACCAGACAUAACUGAAAUAUCGAUUCAUCUAGUUAAAUUCAGCGUCAACCCAAACUCAACAUGAAUUCAACAAAAAAUUUAUUUAGACAUGGGAUUGAAUCCUACUUAUGAAACCAAUGAAACCAUAGAAUACUUGCAAGAAGACCGUCACCAACCCCAUGUUUCAACAAGGGACAGGCUGAAUACGACAUGACACAAAACACUUCCUUUGAUCACUCUAUGAGUAAGUUUGAUCAGAUUUUAGCCUAUAACAUGUUCCUAGCCCUUCACCCCAUCACUUCCCAAUAAUACAGUAAACCUAGCAGGUCACUGCUUGAUCUUGCUGCUGAAUGAGGAAAAGAGAGUGCAAGGUUGCGACAUCUUUAUGCUUGCCAUCCUACUACUAGAGCCAAGAUAUUCACUAGCUCAUGUCAUAUGUAACUUAAUUUUCAAGGCAGAAUGAAAUCUAACUGUGACCAUCUUCAGGAAGCUCUUACAAAUCAGUAAUGAUCGUCAAAGCUUCUAAUCAUAUACAAGACUUGAAAACAAAAUCAAGUAUACUGGAGAUACAAUGGAGCCUAUGCCACUUGCAAAGCUUUCACUAGAUUCACAUAGGACUUGCGUAUCACUAACCUGCUGGAGACCAAGACCAUCAGCAAAAGUUCCAGAAACCAAGUGCAGUAAUUAGAUCGCAGAAAGGCAUAGAACCCAAGAAUCAAUCAACUAGAUAUGAGCAAAGAAUUCUAGAAUGAACAUAAUUCAGCAACAGUAUGCAACAGAAGCUGCUGGCUCUACCAUUACCAGGUUAAUGUAAUUUGAGAAAGAAUGUGCAAACAUGCAGGAGCUUAGGUGCUAGUGAAGUUGCUAACCACUCUUAGCUUUGCCGGUUGGCAGCCCUCCACUUGGACCAGGUCCAUGGUUCAAACACUGGUGGUGUCAUUCCCACCGUAUUUCUCAUUAAAAAAAAUAAUAUUAAAUUUAGCUUUCUCACAAUUAAACAAUAACUAUCAAGUUGUUGAUCUGUAGAAGAGUACAUAAAUUAAUUUUUUCUCUGUAAUUCAACACUAAAAUUAUGCUCUCUUCUGAAUCUUAUACAAGUAUACCUUGGUCAUAUUAACAUGUUAUUUUGGUAGGAGAUAACAGAAGACUGCAUCUGGAAAGCUAAGAAGCACUGUGAAGAGGAGUUGCCUGAAAGCAGACAACAAAAUAGAGGUCCACUAAGCAUUUCUUCUUCCUCCAAAUCUAAGCCUAAGAUUAUCAAGCGUGCGUGAAACCAUUAGAAGCCGCGGAUCAUCUGCUGGUAUCUCCCGUCUCUGGAAUAAAGAGAACCCAUUAAGUAUUUUCUCAAGGCACCAUAGACAGUACAUUAAUAGGAAUCCAUGACCUUAAGACAAUGACGCAUAACAAUGGUAUGACCUUGUCCACUCAUAAUGCUGACCAUUUUAAGGCCAGGUAGACACAUAAGGCCAUAAAAUUAUAUGCAUGCACUUAUUAGAAAAUAACCCCAUAUACUGUUUGUCUACUUCUUACACAACCAGCUUGAGUGACUUAACUAUGUUAAAGCAUCAUAUGCAAGAGUAAAAGGAAACAUAUAACCUUUAAACCCUCGUGGUAGGCCUCGACCGCAGGAAGAGAAGGAUUGAUCCUGCGGCUUUGCAAUAGAUCCCAUAUAUAAUUGGCGGUAGUGUAUCCACCCAUCUGCAUACAAUUAUCAAAUUAAUGUAUUACUAGAGUUCAUUGAAGUACAAGUUUCUCAGCAUUAUAAUUUCAUUCCAGAGCAUCUAAAGACAAAUAAAUCAAGCACUUAAUAUAAUUCUUUCAAAAACCUUCUACAAGUCCAGCAUUACAUGCAGUUGACCUAACAGAAACCUUCAAUGCACUCAGCACUAGCUCAUGACAGCCAAUAGUCAGAUUAGUCAUUAAACUUCUCAGGACAAUGUGAUCAUUGACUUUAAAAUAUACAUAUAUACAUAUAUACAUACAUACAUAUAUAUAUAUAUAUAUUGGAAGAAACAUAAAUGGAGAAAUCACUGCCUAUUUUAGCAAUCAAAAUUAUAUUCGUCUGCUUACCUUUUCACCUGCAGCUGCCAAGAGGAGAUCAUUUCCCAUCUUGGCAUUCAAGAAAAAUCCUCGUGCACUCAUUUUUUCCUGACAAAGAUAGUAAAAUUUAUUAUGCAAGUGUAGAAACUUUGAUCAAAGUGACAAUCAGACUCAAAAUCAGAGGAAUCAAUUACCAGGGUAUCUUGAGCAAGUUGCAUCCCUUGAGGAGUAUAACCAACCAUUGCUCCCUCAACUAGCGUCUAUGAAAUCACAAGUACAAGAAAUUAACACAAUAAAAAUUUAACAUAUCAUGAAGUAGAUUAUUCAAGCAGAAAAUCAUCUUUGUGCAAUAUUUCUUUGCAACAUGAAAAGCAACACAAAAAGCUAGGCCACAAUAAGAUCAUAAAAUCAAUGCUUAAGAGGGAAUUGCAACAUCUACCUUUUUCCUUCUUCCUCUCCUAUUUUUGCUAAAAUUAACUUUUUUGUCUGCUUCCUCUUUCAAUUUUUGCUUUUUUUCCUUCAUUGAUUUUGGUAGAAAAAAAAAGGUUGAAUUCUAAUUGACCAACUUGCACAUCUCUUGUGGAAUAUAUCAAAAUAUCAUCUCAAUUCAUACAAGAUUUCUGGUUCACUUGUCAAUUCUGAUUUAACCUAUAUGGUCAAAUUCUUAGGUCUUGGCCUAUGGAUCCUUGUACCCAUCAUCCAAAAACAGCAUAAGCAUUACAUGUCGCAAGCAUUAAAGACUCACAUGUGCUCAUGACCUGUGCAAACAACAAAAACUUAUGUAUGGCAUUCUUCCAUCAUAAGUUGUCAGUCUGCAUAGUAUAGCACAGAAUAUCUUGUUUCUGUAACAUGUCAUUAUUUAUCAGAAUUUAGGAUAUCUGGACCCAUUUCUUAUUUAUAUUUUACAUGUUUCUAGAUUUUCUACGAGUUUAUUUGGUCACCUUUGGAUUUUCCUUGAUUUUUCUAAUUAUUUCAAGCACUCAAAAUUGUCUCCCUCAAGGGAUAACAUAUGUAAGGCAUAUUAUUCUCUCGCACACAUGAAUACUCAAAAGAUUUUCCUUUUGUACUUUCUAUGUUGAGUGAACAUAUAAUAUUGAUAUUGAUUAUAAAUAUCAGAUAAUUUAUCGGAACACAUUAUCAAUCACUUCUCUAGCACUUCACCUAUAGCUUCUUGAAAAUUUUCAGUAUAAUCAAUGCAUGUAAAUUCUCCAAACUAAUGCACCAUUAUUAGUUCAGGAUAUAUUACAUAAAUGAACAUUUUGCACAAGUAUUGGCAGUAGAUACCAAGUAUUGGUAGUAGUAGUAGUAAGUGUUACAUAACGUACAUUACAUAUACGUAAGUAGUUACUAAGUUAUAACUUAGAAAAAAAUGCAUGAAAAUUUACCAUAAACAAGUAUAACUAUUGUCGUGAGGGAAGAGUAGAUGCACCUAUGAUACAGCGAUUCAUAUAAUUGUAAAUUUAAUAACCUUGUACCGGAGAUAACAUAGAUAAUUGAAUAUAUAUAGAAUUUAUGAAAAGGACAUGCAUUAAUGCAAAUGGUAGUGGAUGAUCAACUUAGUGCAGCUUAAUUGUCAAAAUGCAACCACAUCGAGCACCCACAUCUUUUACAAGUAUUGAGCCAUGCUAAAAGAGUACCAUGAGAGAGCAUAAUAUUAAAUUCUCUACUAGCUGUAGAAUUGCAUUCUUCGUUGGUUUCCAUGCAGGGAUAUUUCAAACCUUGUUUAUAUGCAACUAGUGGUGGUUCUACUUGAUGAAUUGGCAAAAUAAUUAUCAUGGGUCAAUGUUCCAAAAGCUAUCUCAGUAUUUUAAUGUCUUUAUAUCAUCACAAUUAGCCAUGCCGUUCAAAGAAAAAUCAUUGAUCCCCUAUGACACUCGGACACUCCAUUUUCAAUGACACAACAUGACACGACACAACACAGGUAGAUGAUUCACUUUGAAGUGUCCUGCUGAUGUUAACAAACAGUGUCCAACACUUGGCAUUUUCUUUGGAGUGUCAUGCAGGGGACUCUUAAUUCUAAGUGCUGCACACUUUAUAAUGUUAUCAAGAUUAUUCAGACACUUUAAGCAAAGUGUCAUUAUAUUUUUAAUAUGAAGCUAUUGCUACUAUAAGAACACUUAAGCAAAAUGUCGUUAUGUUUUAAAUGUAAAUGUAUCAGUAAUUUCAAUUUUCUCUUAUUUUGAAUAAACAUAUAUGUGUUUGCAUAUGUAUGUAGCAUACGUACAAACAUAUAUACACAGCCAUAUGUAUGUAUGUAUAGAUAUGCACGCACACAAAUAUACCAUGUCCGUAUCCUUGUGAAGAGAUUUUUGCAGGUUAUUGUGUCCGACAAUUGAGGACAUGUGGAUACUUGGCACCCAUGCUAAGUAUCCAAGUAACGGUGCUGAUCAUAUAAUCCAUGUUUUCUGGGAUACCAGCAGGAUCAAUAGGCUACCAAUUCUUUCCACUUCCCUUUCUUCUGCCACCUCUCCUGAGACAAACCCAAUUUGUGUGGGAGAUGUCACAUGGAUACACAGCCAGGAACCCACAUAGGUCCAAAAUGAAUGCUAUAAUGAUGACAGAAAACCACAAGCAUUUACAUUCUAAGUUCCAAGAAGCAGCUAGUUAAACAAACCAUUUUUUACUGAAAGAUAGAAUUUGCCAGGUGACCAAUCAUAUCAACAGACUCACCACAUACAACUCAGCAGUCGGGGGUCUUGAACUUGUAUACUCCUCAAAAAUCUUAACACCAGAAUCCAUAUCACCGCAAUGGAAAUAACACCUGUUUUAAGGCAGAAUACUAGUAAAUAUCAGUAACACAGAAAGUUUAGAAUAAAGUAACAAUGAUUAAUAUAUAAUUAUAACUCAAAGCAAAUGAUAACGCAUGAUAAGCAAAAUCUCUCAAAAGGUGUUAUUUCAGAAAUGCUGCAUAACAAGUACAUUUCUACAUCUGCAUGGCUGGCAUGUGAAAAACAAGAAACAAACUCUACAAAGAUUUGUCAAAUAACUGAAGACUCCAAACAGAUUCUACCUGAAGAGGGCAUGGUCACACCAACUGCCUUCUUGAUGAAAAUAGCCUUGUUGGAUAAAUGUGAAAUGACAAGCAUGGAGAAUGUCUCACAAACACAAACAUAAUCUCAGUAACAUACAAGGCAAUAUCUUGUUUGCUUGUAUGUGUGUUAUAACAUUCAUAUUAUGAUAUCAUUAACAAAGGUCGUUAUACAGCAUUCACAGUCAAUAUGCAACCAUGCAUAGUGGUACCUACUGGUUAAAAAAGUAAUUAAUUAUUAUGACAGUAUUACAGCCCUUACAUCAGAGAUCAAUAAGAGUAAAAGAAACUUAAUCACUGAAUAUGAAGAUAGCCUUAAAUCCACUUCUCUUUGAAAUCGUGCUGGCAGACAGGUCAGCUAGCACACAGACGGUUUCAUCUAACAUGUUCCUCCACUCAGUUGCUAAUCCAAUAUGUCCCCCAAUUUAAAUGGCAAAAUUAUCAUUAUGCCCAUCUACACUUAUCUAAAGUCAACAAAUUUUGUCAAUUAUAAACUUGUAGUCCAUUAGCUCCACUCUAUCAUGGCGAACCAUGCAUAUUCACCCUAUCAAACA